This 433-nucleotide ribosomal RNA is filed under the name uncultured bacterium. Its description in RNAcentral is "partial 16S ribosomal RNA". It matches the Rfam family "Bacterial small subunit ribosomal RNA", at positions 29 to 507 of the family's 1533-position model. The record is from RNAcentral.
AACGAACGCUGGCGGCAUGCCUAACACAUGCAAGUCGAACGAGACCUUCGGGUCUAGUGGCGCACGGGUGCGUAACGCGUGGGAACCUGCCCUUAGGUUCGGAAUAACUCCCCGAAAGGGGUGCUAAUACCGGAUAAUGUCUUCGGACCAAAGAUUUAUCGCCUUUGGAUGGGCCCGCGUUGGAUUAGCUAGUUGGUAGGGUAAAAGCCUACCAAGGCGACGAUCCAUAGCUGGUCUGAGAGGAUGAUCAGCCACACUGGGACUGAGACACGGCCCAGACUCGUACGGGAGGCAGCAGUGGGGAAUAUUGGACACUGGGCGAAAGCCUGAUCCAGCAAUGCGGCGUGAGUGAUGAAGGCCUUAGGGUUGUAAAGCUCUUUUACCCGGGAUGAUAAUGACAGUACCGGGAGAAUAAGCACCGGCUAACUCCGUG